AACCAGCGCUGUCCAGAGCCUGGGGAGCUAGCUUUAUAAUAACCAGCGCUGUCCAGAGCCUGGGGAGCUAGCUUUAUAAUAACCAGCGCUGUCCAGAGCUUGGGGAGCUAGCUUUAUAAUAACCAGCGCUGUCCAGAGCCUGGGGAGCUAGCUUUAUAAUAACCAGCGCUGUCCAGAGCCUGGGGAGCUAGCUUUAUAAUAACCAGCGCUGUCCAGAGCCUGGGGAGCUAGCUUUAUAAUAACCAGCGCUGUCCAGAGCUUGGGGAGCUAGCUUUAUAAUAACCAGCGCUGUCCAGAGCCUGGGGAGCUAGCUUUAUAAUAACCAGCACUGUCCAGAGCCUGGGGAGCUAGCUUUAUAAUAACCAGCGCUGUCCAGAGCCUGGGGAAGUGUGGGCCCGUACAGCUGCGGUAGGUGCGCGAGACAAAACUUUACCAGCAUCAUAGCAGACGUAUCGGUGAAUCACUGUGACGUAUGAAAUACGAGUGAUAGUGUAAUCAAUGUGUAAUAACUACGUAAAAAAUGUAUGAACAUCUUCAAUUAUUGUGACAUGCAGUCCUAUUCAGGUCCUGAUUGGUCAACAAGCUUAUUUGAUGAGUCAAAUUGUGUUAUUUGAUGCUCAAAUGGCCAUAAGACCCAAAAGGCCAUAACAUAGAGCCAUGACUACAUGGAACUUGUAACGGCUGUCUGUAAGAGGGAACCAAGGUGCAGCAGAGGAUGUGUUCAUCAUUAGAAUUUUAAUUUAAUAAACAAGAGAACACUACAAAAUGAACAAAAACGACAGCAAACAGUCCUGUUAGGAAAAUACUCAAAACAGAAACAAUUACCCACAAAACCCAAAGGAAAAACAUGCUCCUUAUGUGUGACUCCCAAUCAGCAGCAACGAGCUUCAGCUGUGCCUGAUUGGGAGCCACACACGGCCCAAAACAAAGAAAUACCAAAACAUAGAAAAAGGAACAUAGAACGCCCACCCAAUGUAACACCCUGGCCUAACCAAAAUAAAGAACAAAAAACCCCUCUCUAUGGCCAGGGCGCUACAGAACUCUAUUCCACAUCAGGCAACUGAUGCAAACAGUAGAAUGAGAUUUUAAAAAACAGAUAAAAAUACACCUUAUGGAACAGCAGGGACUGUGAAGAGACACACACACACACAUAGGCACAGACACAUGCAAGAUUGAAUCCCUGAGCUGACAAGGUAAAAAAUCUCUCGUUCUGCCCCUGAACAAGGCAGUUAACCCACUGUUCCUAGGCCGUCAUUGAAAAUAAGAAUUUGUUCUUAACUGACUUGCCUAGUUAAAUAAAGGUUAAAUAAAUAAAGUAAAAAUCAGCAUAUAUCAGUAUUUACCAGUCGAUAUCUGUCUUUACCAGUCGAUAUCAGUCUAUAUCUGUCUUUACCAGUCUUUAUUUGUGUUAUAUUGGUACUGUGAGUUCUAUCUCAGCUCUCUGAAGUCUCCUCCAUGUUUCUAUCCCUCAUCCAACCACAUGAUUUAACCUGCUGGUUGAUUUACACAUUUGAUUUUCAAAUUAUAUUUAAUAAACUGUAUAUCAGAAUAUUCAUUCCCAGAACAGCAAGUCCCUUUAACAGAAUAUCAACCUUUGUUUAAUUUGUUGUUUGUUCGUAGUGCACUGCAGCCUCCUGGUUGUUUUCAUUUAGAUACAUUGUGUUGUUUAAAAUCUCUGUUCAAAAUAUAUGAGCAAUAAGCCUAAGAUUGUUGUGUUUAAUACCACUGCACUGUGUUUCUGUUUGUGUGUUUUAUGGCCAUUCAUUUUAAAUUGACACAUUACAAAUCUGUUUAUUCCUAGUUAAGUUUCAAUACAACAGCAACAAAUGUCAUUUGUAAUCUUGGAGUUAUGUAGUUACAAGUUCUACAGAAAUAAACCGCUUAUUGAUGAUUGGAAAUGUGAAAUGUGUAGGGGAGCAAGAUAUAAAGCAGAACAAUUCAAUGACUUGUGUUUUGUUCCGCCGGGCGCUAUGAAAACAUUCAUUUGAUUCUGGCCCCCCGUCUGUUGUUAUCAAUAACAACACCACCUUCCUCUUCAUUUCAUCCACCAGUGGUUAUACAGAGAAUAAUGUGGAGUUACCUAUGUGGCUCUGACAUUAUAAAUCACCUCGCCCGAUCGUAUGGGGAAUCGAUUGAUCCUUCCUGAUAUAUCUGUGAAAUUUACUGUUAUUUCUGUUUUCAAUUAAAGAUACAGUCAGAUAAUGACUUAAUUGGA
Molecule: long non-coding RNA, 2215 nt
Filed under: Salmo salar (Atlantic salmon)
Lineage: Eukaryota; Metazoa; Chordata; Actinopteri; Salmoniformes; Salmonidae
Description: lncRNA (ENSSSAG00000110245.1)
Source: RNAcentral